UACGUAGGUGGCAAGCGUUGUCCGGAUUUAUUGGGUUAAAGGGUGCGUAGGUGGUCUAUUAAGUCAGUGCUGAAAUAUCCCGGCUUAACCGGGAGGGUGGCAUUGAUACUGAUGGACUUGAGUAAAGUUGAGGUGGGCGGAAUUGACGGUGUAGCGGUGAAAUGCUUAGAUAUCAGGAGGAAUACCGGUGGCGAAAGCGACUCUCUGGACGGCAACUGACGGCUGAGGCACGAAAAGCGUGGGUAGCGAACAGG
RNAcentral lists this ribosomal RNA (254 nucleotides) under uncultured bacterium. RNAcentral describes it as "partial 16S ribosomal RNA". It matches the Rfam family "Bacterial small subunit ribosomal RNA", at positions 524 to 776 of the family's 1533-position model. The record is from RNAcentral.